This 900-nucleotide ribosomal RNA is filed under the name uncultured bacterium. Its description in RNAcentral is "bacterial SSU rRNA". It matches the Rfam family "Bacterial small subunit ribosomal RNA", at positions 60 to 991 of the family's 1533-position model. The record is from RNAcentral.
AGUCGACGAUGAAUCUUCUAGCUUGCUAGAAGUGGAUUAGUGGCGCACGGGUGAGUAAUGCAUAGGUUAUGUGCCCUUUAGUCUGGGAUAGCCACUGGAAACGGUGAUUAAUACUGGAUACUCCCUACGGGGGAAAGUUUUUCGCUAAAGGAUCAGCCUAUGUCCUAUCAGCUUGUUGGUGAGGUAAUGGCUCACCAAGGCUAUGACGGGUAUCCGGCCUGAGAGGGUGAUCGGACACACUGGAACUGAGACACGGUCCAGACUCCUACGGGAGGCAGCAGUAGGGAAUAUUGCUCAAUGGGGGAAACCCUGAAGCAGCAACGCCGCGUGGAGGAUGAAGGUUUUAGGAUUGUAAACUCCUUUUGUUAGAGAAGAUUAUGACGGUAUCUAACGAAUAAGCACCGGCUAACUCCGUGCCAGCAGCCGCGGUAAUACGGAGGGUGCAAGCGUUACUCGGAAUCACUGGGCGUAAAGAGUGCGUAGGCGGGGUAAUAAGUCAGAUGUGAAAUCCUGUAGCUUAACUACAGAACUGCAUUUGAAACUGUUACUCUGGAGUGUGGGAGAGGUAGGUGGAAUUCUUGGUGUAGGGGUAAAAUCCGUAGAGACCAAGAGGAAUACUCAUUGCGAAGGCGACCUGCUGGAACAUUACUGACGCUGAUGCACGAAAGCGUGGGGAGCAAACAGGAUUAGAUACCCUGGUAGUCCACGCCCUAAACGAUGGAUGCUAGUUGUUGCCUUGCUUGUCAGGGCAGUAAUGCAGCUAACGCAUUAAGCAUCCCGCCUGGGGAGUACGGUCGCAAGAUUAAAACUCAAAGGAAUAGACGGGGACCCGCACAAGCGGUGGAGCAUGUGGUUUAAUUCGAAGAUACGCGAAGAACCUUACCUAGGCUUGACAUUGAU